Molecule: ribosomal RNA, 232 nt
Filed under: uncultured Pseudomonadales bacterium
Lineage: Bacteria; Pseudomonadati; Pseudomonadota; Gammaproteobacteria; Pseudomonadales
Description: partial 16S ribosomal RNA
Rfam family: Bacterial small subunit ribosomal RNA
Source: RNAcentral
CGGACGGGUGAGUAAUGCCUAGGAAUCUGCCUGGUAGUGGGGGACAACGUUUCGAAAGGAACGCUAAUACCGCAUACGUCCUACGGGAGAAAGCAGGGGACCUUCGGGCCUUGCGCUAUCAGAUGAGCCUAGGUCGGAUUAGCUAGUUGGUGAGGUAAUGGCUCACCAAGGCGACGAUCCGUAACUGGUCUGAGAGGAUGAUCAGUCACACUGGAACUGAGACACGGUCCAG